CAAACAACAUCGGAACUAUAAAAAAAGAUUUAGAUGCUGCUGACAUCCCCUUUCUACAGAACUUCAAUGUGUCAAAAGACAGAGCUCAGAUCACACUGAGGGAUCCAGUGAUGCCUGCUGGAGCAUUGGUGAAUGUUGCAGAACACCUGGGGAACCUGAAGUUUGAAGUCUGGCAGAAGAUGAUGGCGAUAGUUC
Long non-coding RNA from Sinocyclocheilus grahami, 195 nucleotides. RefSeq lists it as uncharacterized. The transcript has 3 exons. The record is from RefSeq and is a predicted model, not a curated record. NCBI's taxonomy places the organism in Eukaryota, Metazoa, Chordata, Actinopteri, Cypriniformes, Cyprinidae.